UACAGAGGGGGCAAGCGUUGUUCGGAAUUACUGGGCGUAAAGGGCGCGUAGGCGGCCUGUUAAGUCGGACGUGAAAUCCCUCGGCUCAACCGGGGAACUGCGUCCGAUACUGGCGGGCUUGAAUUCGGGAGAGGGAUGUGGAAUUCCAGGUGUAGCGGUGAAAUGCGUAGAUAUCUGGAGGAACACCGGUGGCGAAGGCGGCAUCCUGGACCGACAUUGGCGCUGAGGCGCGAAAGCCAGGGGAGCAAACGGG
RNAcentral lists this ribosomal RNA (253 nucleotides) under uncultured bacterium. RNAcentral's name for it is "partial 16S ribosomal RNA". It matches the Rfam family "Bacterial small subunit ribosomal RNA", at positions 524 to 776 of the family's 1533-position model. The record is from RNAcentral.